RNAcentral lists this ribosomal RNA (494 nucleotides) under uncultured Lactobacillus sp. RNAcentral describes it as "bacterial SSU rRNA". It matches the Rfam family "Bacterial small subunit ribosomal RNA", at positions 53 to 507 of the family's 1533-position model. The record is from RNAcentral. Lineage: Bacteria; Bacillati; Bacillota; Bacilli; Lactobacillales; Lactobacillaceae.
ACAUGCAAGUCGAGCGAGCUUGCCUAGAUGAUUUUAGUGCUUGCACUAAAUGAAACUAGAUACAAGCGAGCGGCGGACGGGUGAGUAACACGUGGGUAACCUGCCCAAGAGACUGGGAUAACACCUGGAAACAGAUGCUAAUACCGGAUAACAACACUAGACGCAUGUCUAGAGUUUGAAAGAUGGUUCUGCUAUCACUCUUGGAUGGACCUGCGGUGCAUUAGCUAGUUGGUAAGGUAACGGCUUACCAAGGCAAUGAUGCAUAGCCGAGUUGAGAGACUGAUCGGCCACAUUGGGACUGAGACACGGCCCAAACUCCUACGGGAGGCAGCAGUAGGGAAUCUUCCACAAUGGACGAAAGUCUGAUGGAGCAACGCCGCGUGAGUGAAGAAGGGUUUCGGCUCGUAAAGCUCUGUUGGUAGUGAAGAAAGAUAGAGGUAGUAACUGGCCUUUAUUUGACGGUAAUUACUUAGAAAGUCACGGCUAACUACGUA